AUACGGAAGGUCCGAGCGUUAUCCGGAAUUAUUGGGUUUAAAGGGAGCGUAGGUGGCUUAGUGAAGCUUGCCGUGAAAUGUCCCCGCUUAACGGGGGAGUUGCGGUGAGAACUCGCAGGCUAGAAUAUAUGGAGUGCACAUGGAAUUCGUGGUGUAGCGGUGAAAUGCAUAGAUAUCACGAAGAACUCCGAAAGCGUAAGCAUUGUGCAUCCGUAUGAUUGACACUGAGGCUCGAAGGUGCGGGUAUCGAACAGGAUUAGAUACCCUGGUAGUCCGCACAGUAAACGAUGGAUGCUCGACGUGCGUUCCGUUAAAGGAGUGCGUGUCCAAGCGAAAGCGUUAAGCAUCCCACCUGGGGAGUACGCCGGCAACGGUGAA
Molecule: ribosomal RNA, 378 nt
Filed under: uncultured bacterium
Lineage: Bacteria
Description: bacterial SSU rRNA
Rfam family: Bacterial small subunit ribosomal RNA
Source: RNAcentral